AUUGAACGCUGGCGGCAUGCCUUACACAUGCAAGUCGAACGGCAGCACGGGUGCUUGCACCUGGUGGCGAGUGGCGAACGGGUGAGUAAUACAUCGGAACGUGUCCUGUAGUGGGGGAUAGCCCGGCGAAAGCCGGAUUAAUACCGCAUACGAUCUACGGAUGAAAGCGGGGGAUCUUCGGACCUCGCGCUAUAGGGGCGGCCGAUGGCGGAUUAGCUAGUUGGUGAGGUAAAGGCUCACCAAGGCGACGAUCCGUAGCUGGUCUGAGAGGACGACCAGCCACACUGGGACUGAGACACGGCCCAGACUCCUACGGGAGGCAGCAGUGGGGAAUUUUGGACAAUGGGCGAAAGCCUGAUCCAGCAAUGCCGCGUGUGUGAAGAAGGCCUUCGGGUUGUAAAGCACUUUUGUCCGGAAAGAAAUCCCUGGUCCUAAUAUGGCCGGGGGAUGACGGUACCGGAAGAAUAAGCACCGGCUAACUACGUGCCAGCAGCCGCGGUAAUACGUAGGGUGCAAGCGUUAAUCGGAAUUACUGGGCGUAAAGCGUGCGCAGGCGGUGAUGUAAGACCGAUGUGAAAUCCCCGGGCUCAACCUGGGAACUGCAUUGGUGACUGCAUCGCUUGAGUAUGGCAGAGGGGGGUAGAAUUCCACGUGUAUCCGUGAAAUGCGUAAAGAAUGUGGAGGAUUACGAUGGCGAUGCAGCCCCAGGGGCCCAUAGUGACACUCAUUGAACAUAUAGUUUGA
This 744-nucleotide ribosomal RNA is filed under the name Salinispora tropica. Its description in RNAcentral is "bacterial SSU rRNA". It matches the Rfam family "Bacterial small subunit ribosomal RNA", at positions 28 to 764 of the family's 1533-position model. Lineage: Bacteria; Bacillati; Actinomycetota; Actinomycetes; Micromonosporales; Micromonosporaceae. The record is from RNAcentral.